RNAcentral lists this ribosomal RNA (1187 nucleotides) under Helicometrina nimia. RNAcentral describes it as "partial large subunit ribosomal RNA". It matches the Rfam family "Eukaryotic large subunit ribosomal RNA", at positions 175 to 984 of the family's 3401-position model. Lineage: Eukaryota; Metazoa; Platyhelminthes; Trematoda; Plagiorchiida; Opecoelidae. The record is from RNAcentral.
GAGUACGGUGGUACGGACAUGGCCCAUUGAGGGUGAAAGGCCCGCGGGGGUGGAGAUUCAGACUGGGCCAGUACAUUCCCUGGAGAGACCUKGGAGUCGGGUUGUUUGUGAAUGCAGCCCAAAGUGGGUGGUAAACUCCAUCCAAGGCUAAAUACUUGCACGAGUCCKAUAGCGAACAAGUACCGUGAGGGAAAGUUGAAAAGUACUCUGAAGAGAGAGUAAACAGUGCGUGAAGCCGCUCAAAGGUAAACGGAUGGAGUUGAACUGUGAGCUUCGGGGGUUCAGCUGGUGGCAUUGAUCGGGCUUGGACGAAUUUGUUGAGCCCUGUGGUCUGCAAAGUAGCAGGUCCUCGCCUUCGGGUGGGGAUGCGCGAUGCACUCGUUGAGUGUUGUGCGCCUCAGGUGUUCUCGGGCCGAGCUGCCAGUGCACUCCCUCGGAGCGGUCACCACGACCGGCACUGCUGUCUGUCUUUUGCGGUCAAACCGGCCGUGCAUUGUCCCCGUGGCUUUGUGCGGUCGGGACGGCAGGUAACUUGUUGGUUUGUUCGCAUUCCUUCGAGUGUAAUCAGCUGGCUGUAAUUUGACUGUGCAGUGUGUCGGAGACAUCGGCUUGAGGUGUCUGCGUGCGUGCCGAUCCUGCUGGCGUGUCCCAUGUCUGGUUGCUCAGUUGCUCACCUGGUGGGCCAAGCGGCGACUCGGAUACGUUCGGUGGGUGGUUGCGUGCGUGGCACUUUACUUGGGCCUAUAGUCUGUGGUGUUGCGGUAGACUAUCCAUCCGACCCGUCUUGAAACACGGACCAAGGAGAGUAACAUGUGCGCGAGUCAUUGGGCGUCACGAAACCCAAAGGCGCAGUGAAAGUAAAGGCUCGGUUUGCCGGGCUAAGGUGAGAUCUUGUCGUUUCCCACGCGCGGUACCACCAAGCAUCGAGCGGCAGGCGCAUCACCGGCCCGUCCCAUGGCGUUGGCUUUGGCUUGUCCAUUGCACAGUCGGGGCGGAGCAAGAGCGUACAUGUUGAGACCCGAAAGAUGGUGAACUAUGCUUGUGCAGGUUGAAGCCAGAGGAAACUCUGGUGGAGGACCGCAGCGAUUCUGACGUGCAAAUCGAUCGUCAGACAUGAGUAUAGGGGCGAAAGACUAAUCGAACCAUUUGGUAGCUGGUUCCCUCCGAAGUUUCCCUCAGGAUAGCUG